RNAcentral lists this ribosomal RNA (462 nucleotides) under uncultured bacterium. Its description in RNAcentral is "partial 16S ribosomal RNA". It matches the Rfam family "Bacterial small subunit ribosomal RNA", at positions 338 to 795 of the family's 1533-position model. The record is from RNAcentral.
CCUACGGGCGGCAGCAGUGAGGAAUAUUGGUCAAUGGACGCAAGUCUGAACCAGCCAAGUAGCGUGCAGGAUGACGGCCCUCCGGGUUGUAAACUGCUUUUAGUUGGGAAUAAAAGGUGGCUCGUGAGCCCCGUAUUGUAUGUACCAUCAGCAAAAGGACCGGCUAAUUCCGUGCCAGCAGCCGCGGUAAGAUGGAAGGUCCGGGGGUUAUCCGGAUUUAUUGGGGUUAAAGGGAGCGUAGGCCGGCUUUUAAGUACGCUGUGAAAGUCCGCGGCUCAACCGUGGAAUUGCAGUUGAAACUGGAGGCCUUGAGUGCAGACAGGGAUGCCGGAAUUCAUGGUGUAGCGGUGAAAUGCGUAGAUAUCAGGAAGAACACCGAUCGCGAAGGCAAGUGUCCGGGGUGUAACUGACGCUGAGGCUCGAAAGUGCGGGUAUCAAACAGGAUUAGAUACCCGAGUAGUC